UUUAAAUUUAAAAUUAAAAUUUAAAUUAGUAUUAGGUAAUUUCUUGAAAAUUAAAAAAUUUGACGGUAUUUUAGUCUUUUUAGAGGAACCUGUUCUAUAAUUGAUAAUCCACGAUUAAUUAUACUUUAGUUUUAAAUUUAUAUAUCAUCGUAUUAAAUAUUUUAUAAGAAAAUAUUAAUUUUUUUUAAAAAGGUAAGUCAGAUCAAGGUGUAGUUUAUAUUGAAGAAAGUAAUGGGUUACAUUAAUAUAAAUAUUGGAAUUAAAUUUGAGAGAAUUUAGUUAAACUGGAUUUAAUAGUAAUUAAUAUAAUUUUAUAAAAAUGAUUAAGCUCUAGAAUAUGU
RNAcentral lists this ribosomal RNA (341 nucleotides) under Ptinella sp. IBE-AN356. Its description in RNAcentral is "partial 12S ribosomal RNA". The record is from RNAcentral. Lineage: Eukaryota; Metazoa; Arthropoda; Insecta; Coleoptera; Ptiliidae.